AGAAUCAAACGCUGGCGGCGUGCCUAACACAUGCAAGUCGAACGAGUAAAGUGGAGCAAUCCAUGAGUAAAGUGGCGCACGGGUGAGUAACACGUGACUAACCCUACCCUUGAGUGGGGAAUAACUUCGGGAAACCGAGGCUAAUACCGCAUAACACCUACGGGUCAAAGGAGCAAUUCGCUUAAGGAGGGGUCGCGGCAGAUUAGUUAGUUGGCGGGGUAAUGGCCCACCAAGACGGUGAUCUGUA
Molecule: ribosomal RNA, 247 nt
Filed under: uncultured bacterium
Lineage: Bacteria
Description: partial small subunit ribosomal RNA
Rfam family: Bacterial small subunit ribosomal RNA
Source: RNAcentral